AGAUCAAUCAUCAUUUCCAACCAUUAUACUGAAAAGAAAAUGAUGACAAUAACACAAACCACCCACCUGAAGGUGAUAAUCCUGGUGUUUCUGGCGGCUUUGGUAGUAGCCGCAACUUGCAGGCCGAUGUUGGGUGCAAACAAGAUGACUUCUAUAGCUAGUAAAGGCUCGGUGAUACAUUCAGAGCCUAAUCCUUGCACUUACCUCCCUACAUACGAUCCUAGGCAUUGUCAACCCAACUAGCUGCUACUACGAGGUAGUGAUCCAGUUGGCGGAAAGAGAGGGAGAAAAAGAAUGAACUUGUCCAAGUGGCUGUUUGGAAACUACUUGAAUUCACAACCUAGAUGGGUUUUCAUGUAAUAAGUUAAUAUGUGAAUGUAAAUAACAGCGUGCUUGUGACUUCUCUUUUAAGAAAUGCUUUAUUCCUUUUUCUGUUUUUAA
Long non-coding RNA from Jatropha curcas, 441 nucleotides. RefSeq lists it as uncharacterized. The record is from RefSeq and is a predicted model, not a curated record. Lineage: Eukaryota; Viridiplantae; Streptophyta; Magnoliopsida; Malpighiales; Euphorbiaceae.